UACGUAGGGUGCGAGCGUUGUCCGGAAUUAUUGGGCGUAAAGAGCGUGUAGGCGGUCCGGUAAGUCCGCUGUGAAAGUCGGGGGCUCAACCCUCGAAUGCCGGUGGAUACUGUCGGGCUUGAGUACGGAAGAGGCGAGUGGAAUUCCUGGUGUAGCGGUGAAAUGCGCAGAUAUCAGGAGGAACACCUAUUGCGAAGGCAGCUCGCUGGGACGUUACUGACGCUGAGACGCGAAAGCGUGGGGAGCAAACAGG
This 253-nucleotide ribosomal RNA is filed under the name uncultured bacterium. RNAcentral's name for it is "partial 16S ribosomal RNA". It matches the Rfam family "Bacterial small subunit ribosomal RNA", at positions 524 to 776 of the family's 1533-position model. The record is from RNAcentral.